CCUACGGGAGGCAGCAGUCGGGAAUCUUGCGCAAUGGGCGAAAGCCUGACGCAGCAACGCCGCGUGAGCGACGAAGGCCUUCGGGUCGUAAAGCUCUGUUGUUGGGGACGAAGGGUUAGGGGUUAAUAGCCCCGAGCCUGACGGUACCCUUCGAGGAAGCCCCGGCUAACUACGUGCCAGCAGCCGCGGUAAUACGUAGGGGGCGAGCGUUGUCCGGAAUUAUUGGGCGUAAAGAGCGUGUAGGCGGCCCGGUAAGUCCGCCGUGAAAACUCGGGGCUCAACCCCGGGCUUGCGGUGGAUACUGUCGGGCUAGAGGGUGGUAGAGGGGAGUGGAAUUCCCGGUGUAGCGGCGAAAUGCGCAGAUAUCGGGAGGAACACCAGUAGCGAAGGCGGCUCCCUGGGCCAUUCCUGACGCUGAGACGCGAAAGCGUGGGGAGCAAACAGGAUUAGAUACCCUGGUAGUCCACGCCGUAAACGAUGAACACUAGGUGUGGGGGGAGUCGAAUCCCUCUGUGCCGCAGCCAACGCGAUAAGUGUUCCCGCCUGGGGAGUACGGCCGCAAGGCUAAAACUCAAAGGAAUUGACGGGGGCCC
This 593-nucleotide ribosomal RNA is filed under the name uncultured bacterium. RNAcentral describes it as "bacterial SSU rRNA". It matches the Rfam family "Bacterial small subunit ribosomal RNA", at positions 338 to 922 of the family's 1533-position model. The record is from RNAcentral.